This 1050-nucleotide ribosomal RNA is filed under the name uncultured Bacillus sp. Its description in RNAcentral is "bacterial SSU rRNA". It matches the Rfam family "Bacterial small subunit ribosomal RNA", at positions 334 to 1372 of the family's 1533-position model. The record is from RNAcentral. Lineage: Bacteria; Bacillati; Bacillota; Bacilli; Caryophanales; Bacillaceae.
GACUCCUACGGGAGGCAGCAGUAGGGAAUCUUCCGCAAUGGACGAAAGUCUGACGGAGCAACGCCGCGUGAGUGAUGAAGGUUUUCGGAUCGUAAAGCUCUGUUGUUAGGGAAGAACAAGUGCAAGAGUAACUGCUUGCACCUUGACGGUACCUAACCAGAAAGCCACGGCUAACUACGUGCCAGCAGCCGCGGUAAUACGUAGGUGGCAAGCGUUGUCCGGAAUUAUUGGGCGUAAAGGGCUCGCAGGCGGUUUCUUAAGUCUGAUGUGAAAGCCCCCGGCUCAACCGGGGAGGGUCAUUGGAAACUGGGAAACUUGAGUGCAGAAGAGGAGAGUGGAAUUCCACGUGUAGCGGUGAAAUGCGUAGAGAUGUGGAGGAACACCAGUGGCGAAGGCGACUCUCUGGUCUGUAACUGACGCUGAGGAGCGAAAGCGUGGGGAGCGAACAGGAUUAGAUACCCUGGUAGUCCACGCCGUAAACGAUGAGUGCUAAGUGUUAGGGGGUUUCCGCCCCUUAGUGCUGCAGCUAACGCAUUAAGCACUCCGCCUGGGNGNANGUANCNGGUCGCAAGACUGAAACUCAAAGGAAUUGACGGGGGCCCGCACAAGCGGUGGAGCAUGUGGUUUAAUUCGAAGCAACGCGAAGAACCUUACCAGGUCUUGACAUCCUCUGACAACCCUAGAGAUAGGGCUUUCCCUUCGGGGACAGAGUGACAGGUGGUGCAUGGUUGUCGUCAGCUCGUGUCGUGAGAUGUUGGGUUAAGUCCCGCAACGAGCGCAACCCUUGAUCUUAGUUGCCAGCAUUUAGUUGGGCACUCUAAGGUGACUGCCGGUGACAAACCGGAGGAAGGUGGGGAUGACGUCAAAUCAUCAUGCCCCUUAUGACCUGGGCUACACACGUGCUACAAUGGACAGAACAAAGGGCUGCGAGACCGCAAGGUUUAGCCAAUCCCACAAAUCUGUUCUCAGUUCGGAUCGCAGUCUGCAACUCGACUGCGUGAAGCUGGAAUCGCUAGUAAUCGCGGAUCAGCAUGCCGCGGUGAAUACGUU